This 12765-nucleotide long non-coding RNA is filed under the name Glycine max (soybean). Its description in RNAcentral is "long non-coding RNA (GMAX_LNC002326)". The record is from RNAcentral. Lineage: Eukaryota; Viridiplantae; Streptophyta; Magnoliopsida; Fabales; Fabaceae.
GUCAUGUGGACCCUGAGGAGGCAACCACCAUUAACGAGCUGAAGAAGCCUGUUGUGGAGAAAGAAGCUCCAGGGCAUGCCAUAUGAGGGCAUGCACGCACGGCCUCGGAGGGGAACCAGAAAAUUAUGUUAACAAAAUAAUCUGGAACCCUAAUGUAUCAGUGUCAUCAUCAGUGUGUAGUUUAAGCUAGCUUUGCUAUGGUUACGUUCUCUGAGAUGAGAGUCUUGAUGAACAGUGCCAUUCUGAUGUAUUGCUUUCCUUGAAAGUUAAUGCAUGCUUCUUAUCUUCUGUCUAUAGCUAUAUGCUUUCUUUUUCUUUUUCUUUUUUGUUAAUCAGAACAUUUGCAACUUCACUCCUUAGUAUAUAAUAGUUAUCCAUACAAAAAGAAAUAUUAUUUAAGGACAUACUGAAACAUAAAUAUUACACUUUUUAGCAUCCAUAAAAAAAAAUUGAACGAGGAGGGUUAAAAAUAUAUUUUUAACAUUUUUUUAAUAUAUUCUUUGUUAUUGAUUGAAUUUAAAAAAAAUAUAAAAUUAGCUAGAGAGAAAAUUAUUAAAUAAAAUAUAACCUUAAAAAUUUAUAAUAUUUAAUAAAUUUUAAUCAAUUAAAAAGAACACUCCUCCAGACUUAAGAUUUUGUAUGGAUUAAUUCACUAGUAAGUACAUCAUUAAGAUUCAUUCGAUUCAAUGCAGCGGACAAGGGAAAUAAAAGAAAAUACUAUAUGUGGGUUUUUUUACUACAAGAAAUAUUAUCUAUGUCUACGGACAAAAACCAUCACUAGAUGUUAAAAAUGUGUAGGUAAAUAUAAUAAAAAUUUUGUCCUACAGACAUUGUGGUCGUCAACUUUGAGGGGACGCAUGUGACACCCUCUAUCCCUCACAUAUAUACUAACAAAGGAAUAAAAAUUCAAAUAUUAAUUAAAAGUAUUUUUUUUGAACAUUUUUAAAUACGGGUCUUUCAAAGGGAUAAAAGGUUCACAAUCACUUUCUUCUACAUCAUAUUCAAACUUGUCCAAAUAAAUAAUAAAGUCAUCGGCUCGAACAAGGUCGUUUGAGACUUCAUACAAUUAAUAUAAAACCCUAUACCCCAAUGUCACAUCCUAUCAGAGCGUUGUGUCUCGACGUCUUUCAGCACAAUAUUCCUUAAAGCAGUUUACCUAGUCAUCUGCUCCCCCGAACACAGAGUUCAAGAUCAUCACAGGAUCCAAACACAAACAACAAACCGGGAGUGAGUUAUCACAUUCCUAACUAAUAGAGAAACAAGACAACUAGAUAUACAUAUCAUAUAAACCAAAUAAAACUUACUUACACGUAAUUCACGUAAUUCCAUCACUUUGUCAUUCAAAAUUCAUUUUUCAUCAAUCAAUCACAUUUUUCAAUCAUCAAUCACAUUACACAGGAAUCACACGCUCUGAUCAAGACAUAAUAACACCUCAAUUUCAUAAUAAACAAUUAGCAAGCGCAUGAGACAGUUAUGCUAAGACUCAAGCCUAUAUGCAAUGUGGUACCAUGUCAGUGAAAAACCACCCUGGGGCGCUUAGGAGUACAUAACAAGACACACCACACAAUGGGUUUGUCAGGUCACUCUCACUAAGUAAGAUCAUAGGGAGACCAGUCAGGGUCAUGAUGUUUUGCGAGAAUGCUUCAACCAUACGGGAUCAGCAUAGGCUUAAAGGAGCACUCAAACUCGGUGACCCCUAAGGCCUACACUCCGAAGAGUCCGUCAGGGCCUCUCCCUCCUGAUUCAGGUCUAACCCCUAAAAUCAUUUUAGCACACAGACACUGCUCGUGAAUUAUACAAUACCAACGACCUCACACUCGUGUUUUAAACACGUACAACAUAUUGCGCUACAAUUUAACACUAGUUCCUAAAUAGGAAACCUACACUUUCUCUUUAACACUGCGCAUUUACACUUUUAUCAAAAUAACACUGGUCGGGUUAUUGUACAAUUCACGGCUUACAACACAAAUAAUGUCACAUCAAGAGUUAAUCACACACUUAUUUACAACCAAAACUCAUUCACAAUUUCACAUCUCAUAAUGUCACAAUCCACCAUCACAUGUUUUCACGUAUCUCACAAUUCAACAUCUGCUCUACUUUACACUUUUACUCAAUCUCAAUAACAAUAUUAUAAUCUCAAGGCAACAUAUUAUUCCACAAUUUAUCACAUAUUUCAUUUAUAAGCACUGCUCAUGAAUUAUACAAUACCUCCGACCUUACACUCGUGUUUCAAACACGUUUAACACAUUGCACUACAAUUUAACACUGGUUCAUAAAUAGGAAACCUACAUUUUCUUUUAAACACUGCGCAUUAACGUUUUUCUCAAGAUAACACUGGUCGGGUUAUUGUAUAAUUCAUAGCUCAUAAUAUAAUUAUUGUCACAUCAAGCGUCAAACACACACUUAUUCACAAUCAAAUAUCAUGCCCACAAUUUAACAUCUCAUAAUAUCACAUCAAUCAUCUCAUUUUUACAUGUAUCUCGCAAAUUGACACAUUCAACUUUGUACUACUCAAUCUUCACUAUAAUAUUAUAAUACCAUUAUAAUAACUUAUUACACCUUAUAACUCAUGCACAUCACACAAUAAUAAUAUUUGCAUGAUACAAAACAUAUAUAUGCAUAUGUAUAUAGUAAAUUAAACUACAUUGUUUUUUUAUCAAAGGAUUUCUAUAACAAUUAAUUUAAUAUUACAUCAAAAGAAAUUACCAUUAGACAUUAACCUUACAAUUUUCUUUAAUUUAUUAUUCUAGUAUUACAAUAAUUAUAUACAUAUAACAUGUUGAUCAUCGUCGAAGAAAAAUUAGAACAAGAUAAUAAUUUAUAUAAAAUAAGUCAUUGAAUAAUAUUAUUUAUAAUAUAAUUUACGUUAAUAAGAAGAGCUUAAUUUUUCGAAGGGGUUCACAUUCAACACAAAAAUACAUCAAUUUCAUAGCAAUUUCUCAUUGGGACAUCAACUGAUUCAUCAAACAUAUAUAAUUCACUGUAAUAAUUAAAAGGAUAAAAUGAAAAUUGCAAAAAUACCCCAAAACUGAUUCCAAUUGAUAUCUCUAAGGAUCCAUACACAUGUUUUCACUAAUCCCCAAUUGUGAAUAACUCAUCCCUUACCUCUGAGCGGACUCACGUGUCUCAGCCAACGAUAGUAACAUCUCUAGCGGUUCCCUGAGAUUCUUUCAGUUAUUCCUCCGACUGCUCCGAUAGAAUUCCCAAACGUCGGAGAGACGGAGAAGAGAUUGAAACCUCCACUUGUACUGUCUUUAUGCGAUUCCUUUUUCUCCCUCCACAAAUGUUAUCUCAAAAAUCCCAACGGUGCAAGUGUGCGCAAUUAAAUUUCGAACAACAUGUCCAAAUUUCAUGAAAAUCCAACGGUUAACGAAAUCGGGAUCGUAGUUUUACCGAGACAGUUUUGGGUUUCUGCAGGAAAUUAAAAUGCUACAAUGCGAAGGGUUUUCCUCUAAGCUCAUAUAUGAUUUUGAAAUUCCCAACGGUGAGAAUGUUCGAAAUUGGGUUGCGAACGUGGUACUCAAAUUUCACGACGAUCCAACGGUGAACGAGUCCGAGAUCGUCGUUUUUCUGAGACAGGUUUGGUGGACUGCAGGAAAAAGAAGAGGUUUUGAGAGGAGAAGGGGAAAAACGAAAAUGAGGCCAAAAAGAGGCACCUGACUUAACAUAACUAUUUAUACCUAAGGUACUCAGCCUAUUAUUUGCUCUAUAUUUAUUUAUUUUAUAAAAACAAACUCUAUUUUAUUUUCUAUCAAACAAAUAAAUGAAAUAUCAUUUUUAGUUUCUCUCAAAUCAUUAUUUUAAUUAAUAAUUAUAUCUCCUUAUUUAUUUAUUUAUAAAAUCUCAUCAUUUUUCUAAAACUCUAUUUAUUUAUAAAUAAAAAUCAUUUUUAAUCUAGAUUACAAAAAUUGGGAUGUUACAGCGCACAGUGAUAGAUUAUCGUCGGUCAGUGUAGGUUUUUACCUACUAAUUUACUUUCACCUACAAUUCACAAUGUGCGUAGCUAAAAGUCAUUAAUUUAUAUCUACAACCGCUGACUGUAGAUAAAAAUAUUAACUUGUACCUACAACUUCCAACUGUAGGUAAAAGUCAUUAACUUAUGCCUACCAUACAUUAAAAGACUAUAGAUAUAAACCAUUUAAUUGUACUAUGCCUACGGACAAAAAUAAAACAUAUAAACCAAGGAACAAGAAAGGUAGAAAGAAAAUAGUGGAUUGCAUACUUUCUGGAAGGUCUCUUCUUAGUUCAUUCAACUCUGCCUUGGCACUCAAUUGUUCAUUCAACUCUUCUUAGUGGAUUGUAUAUAAAUCAUAGAAUACAUAUUAUCAAUGACAUAUGAAUACAAAACUUGUAACCGGUCCAAUUAAGUUGGUACCUGAUAAAUAAUAUAUAUUGAAGUGCGCCUUAACACAGAUUCCUUUAAAGCAUUUAGAAAAAUAUGAACUGGCAUUGGAAUUGCAGGUUGAAUUGAGCCUGCUUAAUGAAGACAAAGAUGUGUCACAGCCUGGUAUGACUUAAAAGCUAGAACAAAGUUUCCAAACUAUGCUACAAUAAGUAAGGAACUAGAAUGUAUGGGAACUAGAAUGUAUGAGAACAGAAAUUAAAGUAUUUGUUAAAUAGCAGAAAUCAGAGGCAUAUGAAAAAAUGAAAAAUAAAAGUUACAUCCUCUAACAAAAGCUAAUACAAUGUUAAAUUACAUAUUAAGAACAUGUAGAAUAAAAUGGUAACACAUAAAUGACCAAAAAAUUUCGACCUGUAUCUAUAAGGUUUUCUCAACUACAAAGUUUAUCUUUAACGUAAUCAAUUAUAAAUUGUAGUUUUGCAUAUUAAAAAUUAUUUUAAUAGUCUACUAAGUAGAAAAGGAGUAAUACAGUAUACAUUUUCCUCGACAAAGCAAUUUCAUUAUUAUGUAGCAAUUUUAAUAAAAAUAUAAAUAUGCCUACAACUACUUCUUUAAAUUUCACCCUCUUUUCCUAGCCAUUGACCAUAUCCUUUAAACCAAGGACAAUAUGAAAACUAACUGAAUUACUAAUAUCAGAGUAGAUAAUAUUAUUUCUAGUGAAAAUCACAUUACACAAGCAUAAAGAUUAUACUGCAGGAGCAUAAAGAAAUUAUCCUCUUGAUCAAAAUGUUGUAAAAUGUAGCAUUGAAUAUAGUCAAAUAAAACCAGCUUUCCGGCCUCCAAAUAUCAAGCAAUUAAAGAAGGGAUUAAGGGGCAUGAAGUAGAAUUUCCAUUUCUUCAAAUAUCAAGCAAUUAAAAUGUUUCCUUUUCUGUUUCUUUAGUUCACGAUCGUCCUAAAAAGUAAAAAAAUCAUUGGGGAAGGGAAAAGGAAAGUAAAGCUCAGCAAGGGUAAAGGAACUAAAGGAUGCAAAGUUGCUACAUAAUAAUGAACGUCUGUCUAUGGGAAAUACUUACUAUCAGCAAAACGAAAAUGUUUUUCUUACCUAUUAAAAUAACCAUGAAAAUGAUAAAUGUUAACUAUGAAAAAAAAAUGUAAUAAAUGCUUUGAACAAUCUUUAAGAAAAACUAAUCAAGGAAUCAUACUUGUAUCCAUUGUUCACCAAGCGCGACUUCACGUCCCAUUAUGGUUGGAGGAGUAACAGCUUCUGAGGCAGAAGACUGAUUAUGUCUCAUUUUUGCAGCUUCGGCACCAGCAGGUCCCACAAGUCCAUUCCAAUAUUAAGACUAGUUGGAGACAUUGAGACAGCGGGAUUUCCAGGCACUGAAGAAUGAGGAAUGGUGCUCACAGAAUUCUUCCGUGCAUUGGCUCCUGAAAAGGUUCACACAAACACAAAAUUGUAUGACAAACCACGAAAAAAGAAAGAUAAUCAUGAAUGAUGUUGCAGCAUACCAUCAACAAGCAUUUGGUCAAAACUCCCUUUCUUGUUUGUAGCUGAUUCCUACAACGAAAUACAACUCAUGAGAUUGCAAGAAACAGAUCAAUCAGGAUAUGAAGGUGCCAGUGGUAUCGACAGUUAAUAUUUAAAAAAAAAUGAUUAGGACUUAAUAGGACUAGAAGAAAGAAAAAAAAAUGUGAAGAGAAAUAGUAACCUGAGUAGAAGAACUAGAAGAUGGUUUAGAAACUUUAGCUGUGCUUUCUUCAUCAGUUCCCAUUCAGAUCAGCUCAGAAAAACUGCCUUGAAAUCAGAUUAAUUUCUGAUAAUUGUUUAGGCCAUAUAUCACCUUCAACAAGUACGCAUGCCAGACAACGUACUGAAUAAAGAAACAUAAAAUUACAUGUCACUAAAAGCAUUCAGUACGUUUUAAGCUAUUUAUUCUCCGGAAAUAUGUAUUGCUAUAAUUAAACAUUUCUUUUACAACCAAACAAAUUAAUAUAAUCAAUGAAGGUCAAAACUGACCCUUCUCUUGAUGAGAUUUGAAUUAAGGAUCUAUAGCAUCUCACUAGCCGGUCCUUUACUCUAGAUAAUACUAAAGCAAUAACUCUUAAUCGGAAAGAUUGACACUCUUGGUCAUAAGAUGAAUAUCCUUACUUCAAACAUGGAAAAACUGGCAGAUUACCUAAACAACAAAACACAUAAAGUUAUCAAGUCUGAUAAUUCAACUUAGUUAUUGCUUGGGAUUGAUGUUUGAUGAUCAAACACAUUUCAACUUUUAUCUACCAGAAACUUAUUGCAAUAAACAAAUAGCAAAGAAAGGAAUUUUUUAACAGAAUGAAUUUUCAAAUAUAAAGUGAGAAGAUGAAGCAUUAUUUUCAAUUCUGGAAACUAAGUUCACUAACUUUUAUUAAUGAUUAAAGCAUUAAAAAUAUAAAAAAAAAAUUACAAAAUCUCAAUGACUUGUAAUAUUGAGCCUCACACGAAGUGGUUAUCCUUUAUAUAUAGUCGUUGAUUAGCAAAUAGACAAGAGAUAGCUUACCCGUAGCUAUAUUUUAUCAUGCAACACAUGGAAUUUUUAGAGUCCGAUUCACAAAAGGAUAAAGUGAAAAGAGACAAGGAGGCAAUGUAUUUAUGUUCAAGAAAAUUUUCUUAUUACAGAUGUAAAUAAAUUAGCCAUCAAUGUGAUGAAUAUAAGUUGUUUAUAAGAUCAUACAGGGGAUAGCGAUGCUGUAUAAGACUCAUCACUGUACCUUACGCCUUUUAAUGAACAUGAACACAGUCGAGAAGUGACUACAGCUUCUGGAAUGCCAAAAGUACUUCCGUGGUCUUGUAAGCUUUCACUACCAGCAGCUUUAGAUUCUGGCUUUUCACAAGUUGAUUUUAAGGCAACAUUCAAGCCAAUUGAGCUAGGUUCCGUCACAAAACUGUAAGCCAUAUGAAAAACAAAACACCAUUUAGGUUUGUAAAAAACUACGUAUGGUACAACUAGUUUUAACUGGAUAAUGUGCAGCAAAAAUUCAUAACAUCUCAGCAAACGUUCAUGAAAUUCUACUUAUUAGAUUGGAUAGAGAUCACUGUGACUCAGAACAAUUGACAAGUUACUAUGAGAAAUUCAGAAUAGGAAAGAGGAUUCAAAUGUUUUCUCAAACCAACAUGGCCUAAUUGUUCCUAAAAAAAUCCUAACAUAGUUUCAUUAGACAAGUUUUCUCAUUCACAUAUUAGAAAGCUUCGUUACAGAGCUCAGCCAUAAACAAUUUGGCUCCAAAAACCCACUAGCCAUAGGUCCACAUUAGAUCGCCACAACAAACCUCAAUCAUAGCAAUCAGGGCUCUGCUUGAUUUGUUUUCAAAACCAUGGUUCAUUACCAAGCAAUGUUCCUCUAAAGUUAAAUCCAUGUUACUUGAAUUUGAACGUAUUACCCAUAUUCUCACUCAGUUAAAUCUGCAAAGUGCAGACAAAAAAACAUUAGUCAGCAGCACAUGAUUGAAAAUAUGAGUAAACAUCAAAUAAGUCUGAUUUAAUUUAGGCUAAUGAAAGUGACCGAUGACCUUCCUAAAAGCAUUGUUUAGCUUAUUUCAUAGUCAAGCUUAAAAAAAAAACUUCGUACCCCAUUGCCCAGAGGCUCUUCGCUAUGCGAAGGUAUGGGGGAGGGAUAUUGUACGCAGCCUUACCCUUGCAUAUGCAAAGAGGCUGUUUCCGGAUUCGAACCCAUGACCAACAAGUCACCAAGGCACAACUUUACCGCUGCACCAGGGCUCGCAUUGUCAAAAUAAUAUUUUUUUUUCAGUAAACUUCACACUCAAGUUUACAAAUAAGCUCUCAUUUUAUAAGAACUUACAGAAUAAAUGCUUAGUUAACUUGUUUACCAAAACAUGCCAAAGUCUCAAUUAAAAAACCUGGAAAGGAAGCUAUAAAGAAUUUAGAAGGUCAGUCACCUGUAAUUUAGUAAAAAGUCAUAUAAAGCAUGUACAUUGUUGUUGCCACUAAAAGCCAGCAAAGAUUCUGGGCUAUUAUCAACAUCAUAGAAUGACCUUAAUCGCCGAGUCUGUGUUAUUUCAAAUAGCAAGCACCAAUUAAAUAUAAAUUAUACAUAGAGAAGAAAAAAAUAACACUGGAAUUAAUUGAUAGACAAACUCACAGAACACCAUAAUACGCACAAAAAGGACAGCCAACUAUUAACAUGAAGUGCAAGACAAUAACUAAUUUGAUUCUAAAUGGAAAGAAAGAAAUUACUAUUUGAUUCUAAAAUUGAAACUGUGCUAUGACUACAUGUGGAUUGGGAGGCAUCAGAAUACAAACUCCAUUUCAAUUUAAAUGAGAAAUGAGCAUAUGCAAUACUACAUGACAAAUAAUAAAGAAGCAACUCAUCACAAACAAUAAGUCUGCAUAGUUUACUCCCAAAUCAUAAUCCUAGGGAAUAUUUUACUUCAAGGCAACCAUUUAUACAUUAUCUUCAAGGCAAAAACACCUUGAGAGCAUGCACCUAGUCAAGCAAAAAGCACAUAUGGCAACCAAUCCUCGGACCAGUAAAAAUGAAAUUAAAUGUCACAACUCACAAAUGUAUAAUAAUAAAAUCAAUAAUGAACUAUGAUAACCGAAACAUCUUCAAUAUAAUCACACAGAUUGAAUGCUAAAUUGAGGUCAAGAGUUUGGUAACUUACCCUAAGUUCUGACGGUGUCUUCUUUCUAGCCAUAGAUCCAGUUUUCAAAGGUCCGGAGCCAAGUUGGUGAGAGCUCGAGGGCACAGAACUUGGUUUAGCCACUUUCGCCAUGCCUCGUUUCGCCGCGCGUACUUUACCAAUCAAAACACGUCAUCGACAAUAAUCUGCAAGUGCAGAUUCCGUAAGCGAGAAAGGAUUUACAGUAGAAUUCACAAAUUGCACAAUUAGAGAACACGAUAAGUGUGCUACUAAUUAUGAGCGCAAGGGAAUGUAGAUUAACGGCUUAUGUUUUGAAAAUUAGAAUAGAAUAAAUGCGAAUCGGAAGCAGGAGGGAAAGAGAAGAGACCGAAUCGUGUCGUGGAAGAUUCAAUGGCGAGCGGUGUCGUAUCGGUUUUCGGCGCAGCAGAGGGAGAGGGAAGAGAGCGAAAAUGGGAGCGGGCCCCCCUUCUCCGGCCUCCGCCGUGCCACCAACUCCUUCUACACGCGAUAAAACUAAUGUUUUGUUGAUAUUAAUUCUUUAAUUAAUAAAUUUUUAAGAAUAUUUUUAUUAAAAUAAGAAAUAAAUAUAUAAUUAUUUUAAUAAAAAAUCAUCAUUCUGAUUACAUAUAAAAUUAUUCUUGAAAACUUAUGUUAACGUUCUAUUAAAUUAGAGUGUAUUCUUGAUUAAAUGGUCAAGCUGAGUUGGUGAAAUAUGUUAAGGAGAUUGUUGUAAAUUAAUUGUUACUUGAGUUGGAUUCUAAUGAGUAUAAAAAAAAUCAUUUUAUGUAUAUUUACGAUUCCAUCGAAAAAUUAAUCGAAAUUAUUUUGUACCAAUAUCUUUUUCUUUUGCUGAAUUUUCCCGUGUGAAUUUUUUCCAAUUUGCACCAAUAUCAUCAGAAGAAGAAAAAAGUCAUUUCUUUUAAUUUUUAUAUAAAAUAAAAAUUAAAGAUUAAAAAAACGUAAUCUAUAUAAUCUUUAAUUUAAGUGCCUGCUUUUGCGCAUAACUCCUACAUGGAGAAUGUUACUGUUAAUGAUUCUUCAAUGAAUAAUUUGAUUAAUUUCUAAUCUGUAUCUAGGGCGCGUUGCCCAACCCUAUCAGAAAAAUAAACACUUUAAUUUGAAACUUUACUUUUUUUAAUGAUAUAAAUCUUUAAGAAACAACUGGUUCCGAUAUAUUUUCUUACAUAACAAAUAUUAUUUUAAAAAUUGAAAAAUUAUCAUUAUAAUAUAUUUAUUUUCCUUUUUAUUACAUUUUUUAUUUUUUCAUUCUUAUUCUAUUAAUAUUUAUUAUUUUCAUUUAUAUGUAUUUUAAUUUAUUAUUAUUUUUUUACUGUUAUCUCUAUUUUAUAAUCAUUCGUACACGGUACACCCAAAAAUUACCAUAGUAAUUUUUCUUUUAUCAAGAUGCAGGUACUGUGUACACCCAAAAAAAAUAUGCAUUAUUGUACCUUUUAUAUCGAUUUGCAUUAUUGUACCUUUUAUCGAUUUGCAUUAUUGUACUGGUUCCGAUUCAUUUUUUUACGCAAUAUAAUUUUUCUUACAUAACAAAUAUUAUUUUAAAAAUUGAAAAAUUAUCAUUAUAAUAUAUUUAUUUUCCUUUUUAUUACAUUUUUUAUUUUUUCAUUCUUAUUCUAUUAAUAUUUAUUAUUUUCAUUUAUAUUUAUUUUAAUUUAUUAUUAUUUUUACUGUUAUCUCUAUUUUAUUAUCGCUCGCACACGGUACACCCAAAAAUAGGAUAAGAGUACCAUAAUUGGUAAUGGAGUGGAGCGGAGUGAAGUGGGUACUGUCUUCGCGAAUCUUUCACCCCGACUUUUUAACAUGUCUUCAUAAUCUGAUAUAAUAAGAUGGAUUAAAAUUUAUUAUUUCAUUUAUCCCCGACCCUGUCAUGUAUUCUAUUUAAAUUAGAAAAUUAUUUUUUUUAAAGAAAAUAUUAAAAAUUUGAUUUUAAAAAAAAUAAUUUGAUUGUUAAACAUUUAUUUUUAAUUAUUUAUAUGUCAAUAAAUUUACUAUAGCGCAUGUGCCUACAAAAAUCGUUAAAAAAAAUAUUAAAUUAUGUAAAAAAUUUAAAAUAAAAUUAACUAGUAAUAAAAAUUCUAGAUCUUUUGAUUAAAUUAUGCAAAAAUAUUAAAUAGUAGGACAGAUCUAGAUUCGGGAUUGGGGCGAAUAUAAUAAAUUCAUACCCAAUUCAUACCUAACUUUUGAUUAUAAAAAAACCUAAACUCAAAUCCAUAUUCGAUUAACUUAAAUAUUAUCCAUCAAAAUCGGAAUCAAACCAACAAGUACUAGUUUUUUUUGUCAUGUCAAUUAGUAGUUUUCCUUUUAAUAUUAGUAUGCAUUAUUGUACCUUUUAUCGAAAUGUAUUAUUAUAUUGAACCUUUUAUCAUAUCAAAGAUCUAGACAAAAUAAGUUACUCCAACUUGUCGGUUGAUGAUAACAUCAAUAUGCAUUAUUGCACUAUGAUUGAUUAUGUUUUUGUUAUUUUUUUUAGUAAAUAAUUAAAUUAGUCCUUAAGAUUGUCAUAUUAAUCAGUUCCAAAAAUAAAGUGAAACUCAAAUGAGUCUCAUAUUUUUUAAGAUAUUAGCUACAUCUCGAUUAUAAAAAAAAACAUAAUUUAUAUUUAUUAAAGAAAUUAGUUAAUUUUAUUAAAUUGAGUUAUUUUUAAUUAUUUUUUAAAUUACUUUUUAUUUAAACUUGAUAUUAACUAUAAAAAAUCUUUGAUUUUAUUAAAUGAAAAUUAUUUUAAAAAUAAUUUUAUUAAGUAAGAUUUUAAUAAUUAAAAUUUAUUUAUAUUAUAGAAAAAAAUAAGAAAAUUUUGUUGUUUAUAUUUGAGAUUUUGAGGGUGUAAGUCUCCAAAAAGUUCUUAUUUUUUGUUUUGGAUUCAUGUGAUAUUACUAUACUUAAAUUCGUAUAAAUUACGAAGUAAAAAUGAAGGCUAUAUUCGUAAAUACAAACUAUGAGUUGGUCUAUAAAUAACGUUCAAGUCCCUCUUCUUCGUCACACAGCUAUUCCUCUUAAGCUUGCUACUGAGUUUCCACACUGCAUACCUUAGGUUCAGUCUCUGACUAGCUUUUAAUUUUUCUCUUUACGAGUUUAUUAAUUAUUGUUGUUGUGAUUCAAAUAUCAUAAACCUCCACUCAAUUAAUAUUUUAAUUUUCACUUACCCUAAACACUUCAUCUCACUGUAAACCUUAUAUAAUUUACCCAAUUAAUAUUCAAGUUAAUUUUCAGUUUUAACUUACCUUAUACAAGCACUUGAUCUCAUUCUUUAGAUUCUCUUUGCAUCUGACUAGCCCUAUUUUGUGCCACUCUAGCUUGUUUCUAAUAUUCUUGGAGGUGUUGUAUUGUACAAAUUAAUUUUGCAUGCAGUAUAUGUAUAUAUAUUUCAUAUUUUUUUCUGAUUAUAUUAAUUUAUUUUGGACAGGUCUUCCGAAUUCGAAGUUAAUUUGCAAGAUGGCUAAGGAAAAGGCUCAGAUCAACAUUGUGGUGGUUGGUCAUGUGGACCCUGAGGAGGCAACCACCAUUAACGAGCUGAAGAAGCCUGUUGUGGAGAAAGAAGCUCCAGGGCAUGCCAUAUGAGGGCAUGCACGUACGGCCUCGGAGGGGAACCAGAAAAUUAUGUUAACAAAAUAAUCUGGAACCCUAAUGUAUCAGUGUCAUCAUCAGUGUGUAGUUUAAGCUAGCUUUGCUAUGGUUACGUUCUUUGAGAUGAGAGUCUUGAUGAACAGUACCAUUCUGAUGUAUUGCUUUCCUUGAAAGUUAAUGCAUGCUUCUUAUCUUCUGUCUAGCU